This 207-nucleotide ribosomal RNA is filed under the name uncultured bacterium. RNAcentral describes it as "partial 16S ribosomal RNA". It matches the Rfam family "Bacterial small subunit ribosomal RNA", at positions 568 to 774 of the family's 1533-position model. The record is from RNAcentral.
CUCGUAGGUGGCCAACUAAGUCAGACGCGAAAUCCCUCAGCUUAACUGGGGAACUGCGUCUGAUACUGGAUGGCUUGAGUUUGGGAGAGGGAUGCGGAAUUCCAGGUGUAGCGGUGAAAUGCGUAGAUAUCUGGAGGAACACCGGUGGCGAAGGCGGCAUCCUGGACCAAUCUGACACUGAGGAGCGAAAGCCAGGGGAAGCAAACG